RNAcentral lists this ribosomal RNA (482 nucleotides) under uncultured bacterium. Its description in RNAcentral is "partial 16S ribosomal RNA". It matches the Rfam family "Bacterial small subunit ribosomal RNA", at positions 30 to 507 of the family's 1533-position model. The record is from RNAcentral.
AUUGAACGCUGGCGGCAUGCCUUACACAUGCAAGUCGAACGGUAACAGGUCUUCGGAUGCUGCCGAGUGGCGCACGGGUGAGUAAUACAUCGGAACGUGCCCGAUCGUGGGGGAUAACGGAGCGAAAGCUUUGCUAAUACCGCAUACGAUCUACGGAUGAAAGCAGGGGACCGCAAGGCCUUGCGCGGACGGAGCGGCCGAUGGCAGAUUAGGUAGUUGGUGGGAUAAAAGCUUACCAAGCCGACGAUCUGUAGCUGGUCUGAGAGGACGACCAGCCACACUGGGACUGAGACACGGCCCAGACUCCUACGGGAGGCAGCAGUGGGGAAUUUUGGACAAUGGGCGAAAGCCUGAUCCAGCCAUGCUGCGUGCAGGAUGAAGGCCUUCGGGUUGUAAACUGCUUUUGUACGGAACGAAAAGACUCUUUCUAAUAAAGAGGGUCCAUGACGGUACCGUAAGAAUAAGCACCGGCUAACUACGUG